RNAcentral lists this ribosomal RNA (629 nucleotides) under Agabus uliginosus. Its description in RNAcentral is "partial 16S ribosomal RNA". It matches the Rfam family "Bacterial large subunit ribosomal RNA", at positions 1829 to 2733 of the family's 2925-position model. The record is from RNAcentral. Lineage: Eukaryota; Metazoa; Arthropoda; Insecta; Coleoptera; Dytiscidae.
GUCCUUUUGAAUUUAAUUUAAGGUUUAACCUGCCCACUGAAAUUAUUUGAAGGGCCGCAGUAAUUUGACUGUGCAAAGGUAGCAUAAUCAUUAGUUUUUUAAUUAAAAGCUUGUAUGAAGGGUUGGACGAAGUAAAUUCUGUCUCUAUUUAAUUUAAAUUAGAAUUUAAUUUUUAAGUUAAAAAGCUUAAAUUUUUUUAAAAGACGAGAAGACCCUAUAGAUCUUUAUAUUAAAAAUAUUAAUUUUAAUUAAGAAUAUUUUAUUUUUUAAUAUUUAUAAUAUUUUAUUGGGGUAAUAAAAAGAUUAAAUUAAUUCUUUUUUUAUUUUAACAUUAAUUAAUGAUUAUAUGAUCCAAUUUUAUUGAUUAAAAGAUUAAGUUACCUUAGGGAUAACAGCGUAAUUUUUUUAGAGAGUUCAUAUCGAUAAAAAAGUUUGCGACCUCGAUGUUGGAUUAAAAAUUAUCUUAGGUGCAGAAGUUUGAGAUUUUGGUCUGUUCGACCAUUAAAUUUUUACAUGAUCUGAGUUCAGACCGGCGUAAGCCAGGUCGGUUUCUAUCUUUAAUAAAAUAUAAUAUUUUAGUACGAAAGGACCAAAUAUUUAAUAUAUUUAUAUUUAAUUAUUUUGAAUAU